CGUCUAGGCUGACUAGCAAGUCAGAAGUGAAAAGUCCGAGCUCAACUGGGGCCUUGCUUUUGAUACUGUUAGACUUGAAUCAGGCUGAGGUUAGCGGAAUGUGACAUGUAGCGGUGAAAUGCAUAGAUAUGUCAUAGAACACCAAUUGCGAAGGCAGCUAACUAGACCUCGAUUGACGCUGAGGCACGAAAGCGUGGGGAGCGAACAGGAUUAGAUACCCUGGUAGUCC
RNAcentral lists this ribosomal RNA (229 nucleotides) under uncultured bacterium. RNAcentral describes it as "partial 16S ribosomal RNA". It matches the Rfam family "Bacterial small subunit ribosomal RNA", at positions 568 to 796 of the family's 1533-position model. The record is from RNAcentral.